GUUCUCGUAGCUAAGUGGUAUAGCGUGGGAUUGCAAAUCCCGAGGUCGCGUGUUCGAUCCACGCCGGGAACU
Molecule: transfer RNA, 72 nt
Filed under: Dendrothele bispora CBS 962.96
Lineage: Eukaryota; Fungi; Basidiomycota; Agaricomycetes; Agaricales
Description: Dendrothele bispora (strain CBS 962.96) tRNA
Rfam family: tRNA
About the family: Transfer RNA (tRNA) molecules are approximately 80 nucleotides in length. Their secondary structure includes four short double-helical elements and three loops (D, anti-codon, and T loops).
Source: Rfam by way of RNAcentral